RNAcentral lists this long non-coding RNA (730 nucleotides) under Calidris pugnax (ruff). RNAcentral describes it as "lncRNA (ENSCPUG00000014275.1)". Lineage: Eukaryota; Metazoa; Chordata; Aves; Charadriiformes; Scolopacidae. The record is from RNAcentral.
GGGAUGAACCCUGCAACUCCCAGAACAUGGAGAAGGCCAUUGACUGCUACCACAAAACAGUCCAGCACAACCUUGGGCAGGUCCAACUCGCCCUUAACAGGUUCUUCAAGGAGCACAAGUCCUUCCACAUCACAAGGAAUGAUACCCCCAGCAUCAACUUCACCAACGAGUUUGUCGGCUUCCUAAAGACCGAGCAGUGCAGCGAGGGCUAUGGGCAGACCAGGGAGCUGCAAAGAUGUCUCAACUGUUGCAUUGCAUGCCCACCAGGGACGUUCAGCCCUCCUAGGGCCAGCCAGUGUUCCCCAUGCCCUGUUGGGACCUACAGCCUGAUCUACGGGGUGGCAUUUUGCACUCCCUGCAAGGACAGCAUGAUCACCAUGGUGCCAGGUGCCAGCUCCAUCAUGGACUGUGGCAAGAAGGACAGGAACCAGCAAGUUGACUCCAUCGUGCACAGGAUCCCACUCCUGAUUCUCAUCAUCGUGCCAGCAAUACUAGCCCUCAACUUUCUCUUCAUCCCGAGCUCUUGUUACUGGUUUUGUCGAGAGUACAGGGUUUUGUCAAGAGACCCAGCCCCAGGAAACAUGGUGAUCAGUUUCUUCAGGAUCUCCAGGCAGCAUCUCCAGAAUGGACCUGCUGCUGGACCUGCCAGUAAUACCAGUGAUCUGGACAUCGGAGCAUCUCAGGGGGCUAAUGAGGAGCCCACAGAUAGAGCACCAUCCCCUGCCGUGAC